Molecule: ribosomal RNA, 460 nt
Filed under: uncultured bacterium
Lineage: Bacteria
Description: partial 16S ribosomal RNA
Rfam family: Bacterial small subunit ribosomal RNA
Source: RNAcentral
CCUACGGGUGGCAGCAGUGAGGAAUAUUGGUCAAUGGACGAGAGUCUGAACCAGCCAAGUAGCGUGAAGGAUGACUGCCCUAUGGGUUGUAAACUUCUUUUAUAUGGGAAUAAAACGUUCCACGUGUGGGAUUUUGUAUGUAACAUAUGCAUAAGGAUCGGCUAACUCUGUGCCAGCAGCCGCGGUAAUACGGAGGAUCCGAGCGUUAUCCGGAUUUAUUGGGUUUAAAGGGAGCGUAGGUGGAUUGUUAAGUCAGUUGUGAAAGUUUGCGGCUCAACCGUAAAAUUGCAGUUGAAACUGGCAGUCUUGAGUACAGUAGAGGUGGGCGGAAUUCGUGGUGUAGCGGUGAAAUGCUUAGAUAUCACGAAGAACUCCGAUUGCGAAGGCAGUUCACUGGACUGCAACUGACACUGAGGCUCGAAAGUGUGGGUAUCAAACAGGAUUAGAUACCCCAGUAGUC